Non-coding RNA from Chlorocebus sabaeus (green monkey), 1807 nucleotides. The record is from RefSeq and is a predicted model, not a curated record. NCBI's taxonomy places the organism in Eukaryota, Metazoa, Chordata, Mammalia, Primates, Cercopithecidae.
CGACGGAUCCUGCAGCUGCUCGGCUGUCCUGGUCAAGUCGGUGACCCUAGGGCUCCGCUCCGUGCCCUGCAUACCGUAGGCGCUCACGAAACGUUCGUGAGUUCCCCGCUUUGAGGAGACAAGCUUAAAAACUCGGAAUAACCACACUGCACAAAGUGAACUUACCUGUUUUCAUCGCACUUUAUAUGCACGAAUUCUACCUCCACUCUCGACCUGGGACUCACUCAUGAGUAAGGAAGGACUGAAAGGCAAAAGGACUAUGGACUGGCCUUUUGGCAUAAUCAGGUGUUUAAUAUAAAGAAGUGCACGAAUAAGAAAAGAUAUGAUAUGUGUGAUGGUUAAUACUGAGCAUCAACUUGAUUGGAUUGUAGGAUGCAAAGUAUUGAUCCUGGGUGUGUCCGUGAGGGUGUUGCCAAAGGAGAUCGACAUUUGAGUCAGUGGGCUGGGAAAGGCAGAUCCACUGUUAAUCUAGAUGGUCACCAUCUAAUCAGAUACCAGCGCAGCUAGAAAUAUAAAGCAGGCAGAAAAAUGCGAAAAGAGUGACUGGCCUACCCUCCCAACCUCCCAGCCUACAUUUUCUUCCGUGCUGGAUGCUUCCUGCCCUGGAACAUUGGACUCCAAGUUCUUCAGUUUUGGGACUCGGACUGGCUCUCCUUGCUCCUCAGCUUGAAGACAGACUAUUGUGGGACCUUGUGAUCAUGAAGAAGACAAGAAAGUCUGCUUUUGCCAUUUUUAUUCAACAACGUACUACAGGUUCUACAAUCUACAGUUCAACAGUGUACUACAGGUUCUACAAUCUACAGUUCAACAAUGUACUACAGGUUCUACAAUCUACAGUUCAACAGUGUACUACAGGUUCUACAAUCUACAGUUCAACAACGUACUACAGAUUCUACAAUCUACAGUUCAACAAUGUACUACAGGUUCUAGCCAGGGAGAUUAGAGAAGAAAAAUCAAUGAAAAGCGUCCAGAUUGGAAAGGAAGUAGUAAAGCUCUAUCUAUUAAAGAUGACAUGAUCUUGUAUAUAAGAAAUCCACCAAAAAACAAAAACAAACCAAAAAACAGGUAGAGCUAAUUGUGAAAGGAAAAUAAAUCUUUGGAUCCCAAACUUACUAAGCCAAAGGGAAAAGUCAAGCCGGAAAGUGGGUCAUGCAAGCCUGCCUCCCAUUUUAUUUCCUAAAUAAGAUGGCUACACACAUGAAAAGCUACACACCUCCUCUGUGGGUGCAAGAUCUUUACCCUAAAGCGUUUCUGUUAAAGUUCACCAUGGCAAUGUAAAUUAACAGCUUAUCUUCACAGGUGCGAGGACAUAGGACAGAACUCAAAGCUAUCCCUCUGCCCACCUGAGACAAAUUCAUAUCUAAUUUUUUCCUCUGCCCUACCAUCUACGUUAUCUUAAGUAAAAACGUAUAUUCACAGAGCCAAAGACAUGAAUGACUCUUUUCCUCUAACCCUCUUUUACAUGAAAAUUGUGCAUUUCUCAAUAUCCCACCGUUUCCCCCUUAAACAUUGAAGCUCUCAAAGAUCAUCUCUCGAGAAAGGCAUAGACCUGUCUCUCAGGCACAUCCUUAACUUUGGCAAAUAAACCUCCUUAAAAUGAUUGAGACUUGUCUUGGUCAUUUACCUUGAUUGACAUAGUAUUGGGUCCAGCGAGGUUGCAGGAUACAAAAUCAACAUGCAAAUAUCAAUUUUAUUUCUGUACAUUAGCAAUGAAUAAACUAAAUGUGAAAUUAAGAAAACAGUUUCACCUGUUGUAUUAGUCCAUUCUCAUGCUACUAUUAAUAUAAAGAACUGCCCAAGACUGGGU